Molecule: non-coding RNA, 350 nt
Organism: Gasterosteus aculeatus aculeatus (three-spined stickleback)
Lineage: Eukaryota; Metazoa; Chordata; Actinopteri; Perciformes; Gasterosteidae
Source: RefSeq, a predicted model, not a curated record
CGUCCCUCUGAAGCUCCUCUGUGUGGGGAACAUGACAGCAGGACCACAGCUCAGAGGACCCAUCAGAGACCAGGACCUGCACCUGAUCCUCAACCUGGUCCGGUGUCUGGACCUGCACCCAGCUGUGUGUCCAUGAAGAGUAACCGGUCUACGGAGCCUCCUCUUGAGUUCAAAGAUGUCCGUCCCCCUGUGGAUGCAAGGUCACAUCAGCAGAGAGGAAAGUCUCCUGAACCCAGAUGUUUGUCCAUGAAGAGAGAUCAGUCUCCUCAUCGAUCGAUUAACUUCAAAGAUGAUCAGUCUAUUGGUCAUCUGAUUGACUUCAAAGAUGAUCAGUCUAUUGGUCAUCUGAU